Molecule: long non-coding RNA, 343 nt
Organism: Juglans regia (Persian walnut)
Lineage: Eukaryota; Viridiplantae; Streptophyta; Magnoliopsida; Fagales; Juglandaceae
Exons: 4
Source: RefSeq, a predicted model, not a curated record
GUUGUUCCUGUCGUCCUCUGUCGAGAAGAAUAUCUACGGUCAUUGGCAAGUGGGAUGUGACAGAUGCCUAAGGAUCUUUUCUCAAAAUAUUCUAUGUACAAAUGGCUUGCCAUGAGAGGUGUAGAUGAAGAAUGAAUUUUGAGCUCUUUGCCCUUGGACCUCCGUUGUCAAAUUCAACUCCAUUUUUUGUUUGGCCCUUCAUGCAAUGUGCUUACCUAUGCUCUCUUUGUUGAGGAUGUACUUGAAGUUAUGACGGAUGGAGUUGUUGUGCAUGAAGUUGUAGCCUCACGCAUACAGAGACUAACAAAGGGAGGAAUAUGUGGGCACAUUGACCGGAAACAUU